Molecule: ribosomal RNA, 280 nt
Filed under: uncultured Staphylococcus sp.
Lineage: Bacteria; Bacillati; Bacillota; Bacilli; Caryophanales; Staphylococcaceae
Description: partial 16S ribosomal RNA
Rfam family: Bacterial small subunit ribosomal RNA
Source: RNAcentral
CUCCUUGACGUUAGCGGCGGACGGGUGAGUAACACGUGGGUAACCUACCUAUAAGACUGGGAUAACUUCGGGAAACCGGAGCUAAUACCGGAUAAUAUUUCGAACCGCAUGGUUCGAUAGUGAAAGGUGGUUUUGCUAUCACUUAUAGAUGGACCCGCGCCGUAUUAGCUAGUUGGUAAGGUAACGGCUUACCAAGGCGACGAUACGUAGCCGACCUGAGAGGGUGAUCGGCCACACUGGAACUGAGACACGGUCCAGACUCCUACGGGAGGCAGCAGGC